AAUUCUCUCAUGAUUUUCUCCUGAUUUGCACUGCUCUCUUGGUAAAAGAGAGAGUAAUUUCCUAGAUUCCUGGAUUGUGAUGAUUAACAUACAAUUCUUUAGCUAUUUUUUCCUAGUGUCUCGAUUGUUUUGACUAUAAAUGCAUACUUUAAGGAUUUCUACAGGGCAAAAUAGAAGUAUAACCUUUCUUGUAACUUAUGUAAGAUAGCAUUAGCUAAUUUUGGUUGUUAAUUGGUAUGAGAUCAUAAGUAGCCAAACUAAUUUAUUUAAAUAAGGUUUUUAGUUCUAUUGCCUUACCAAUUUUCCAGAUGGAUCUAAUUAUCUAAAAUGUAUAUUAUCUAAUUUAAUUGCAGUGUUGCCAGACAACCACCUCUUCCAGAUCUAGUUGCCACAUCUUGUGACGUUGUUCAUAGAUACACAUAAACCCAAUAAAGGUGUACAGAAGGUCUGCCUUUACUGUAGGCAACUCUUGGCCUUAUUAUCUCCCAUAAUUGACACUACCACAAAAGUGGUGUUUAUUCUACUGGUAUAGGUCACUACCAUAACCAUAUGUUAUAGCUCUGAAUGGUGGUUUCUAACGGACAAUAACUAUUGUUUUAUCAUGCUGCAUUUUGUGGAUUUUGUUUCCAAACUGUGUGUGCAAGUAACACCAUUUACAGCCAUUGUUACCCUGUUUAAAGAAGAGUUCUACCAAAGCAGUAAACAGCAUGCAAGGAUACUGUGAUCUCCACAGCAAAACGACGUACCAGAAGGCUGGCUUCCAAGGAGCAAGAAAGGAUCUGCUGGAGUUCAUUUGCUUCUUUUCUGCCAGAACAGAUGGCACAGAGGCAAAAGGUGCCGGAAUAAGUGAGGUCAAGUCAGCAGAGCAGUCAGGAUGGCACCACAAACCGAGGGAGCCUGUUCGAUGUCUUGACCUCCCGUACUACAGCUGCUGGAAGCGCCAGAAAUUUGCACGUGUCCUGUGGGUGUGCUUGUGUGUACCACAGACGGGGAUGCAGACCAACAAGUACUGGGUGGGGUGUUAGAAAGGUUGGUGACACUCGCAGAUGUCAGAAGGCAACGUGUCACAGACCAGCCUGAGAAUGGGGACAAAUCAUGCCCACCCAAGAAAAAAAAGAAGACUGAUUUAUGAAUGCAUUUUAGAGCAGUAAAAGGAACUAAUACAGCGACAUGAUUCUCUGGUAGUGUUACAAAAUGUGUAAUGAGCUAUCCCAAGACUUGAGAAGCACUGUUAUGUAGGAGGGAAAAAUUUGACCUGCAGUUAUACCCCAGAAAAUCAUCAUUCACUAUUCCUGAAACAACACUGUUGAAGGAAGAUUAGAUCCUAAACUGCUU
This 1335-nucleotide long non-coding RNA is filed under the name Anser brachyrhynchus (Pink-footed goose). Its description in RNAcentral is "lncRNA (ENSABRG00000014995.1)". Lineage: Eukaryota; Metazoa; Chordata; Aves; Anseriformes; Anatidae. The record is from RNAcentral.